This is a long non-coding RNA of Homo sapiens (human), 111 nucleotides long. Ensembl annotates it as ERICH2 divergent transcript. Its record names the gene ERICH2-DT. Lineage: Eukaryota; Metazoa; Chordata; Mammalia; Primates; Hominidae. The record is from Ensembl.
GCUCUCUCAAGCCAUUCUGGAUUUACAGAGAGGCCUGCUCUGCUUUCCCCAGAGACUUCAAGUAUAUGGAGUUGAGCUCUGUCGCCCAGGCUGGAGUGCAGUGGCACCAUC